RNAcentral lists this ribosomal RNA (464 nucleotides) under uncultured bacterium. Its description in RNAcentral is "partial 16S ribosomal RNA". It matches the Rfam family "Bacterial small subunit ribosomal RNA", at positions 29 to 507 of the family's 1533-position model. The record is from RNAcentral.
ACGAACGCUGGCGGCGUGCUUAACACAUGCCAGUCGAACGGAAAGGCCCUGCUUGCAGGGUACUCGAGUGGCGAACGGGUGAGUAACACGUGGGUGAUCUGCCCUGCACUUCGGGAUAAGCCUGGGAAACUGGGUCUAAUACCGGAUAGGAGCCAUUUUUAGUGUGAUGGUUGGAAAGUUUUUUCGGUGUAGGAUGAGCUCGCGGCCUAUCAGCUUGUUGGUGGGGUAAUGGCCUACCAAGGCGGCGACGGGUAGCCGGCCUGAGAGGGUGGACGGCCACAUUGGGACUGAGAUACGGCCCAGACUCCUACGGGAGGCAGCAGUGGGGAAUAUUGCACAAUGGGCGCAAGCCUGAUGCAGCGACGCCGCGUGGGGGAUGACGGCCUUCGGGUUGUAAACGCCUUUCGCUAGGGACGAAGCUUUUUGUGACGGUACCUAGAUAAGAAGCACCGGCUAACUACGUG